GCAGUCGAGCGGUAACAUUUCUAGCUUGCUAGAAGAUGACGAGCGGCGGACGGGUGAGUAAUGCUUGGGAACAUGCCUUGAGGUGGGGGACAACCAUUGGAAACGAUGGCUAAUACCGCAUAAUGUCUACGGACCAAAGGGGGCUUCGGCUCUCGCCUUUAGAUUGGCCCAAGUGGGAUUAGCUAGUUGGUGAGGUAAAGGCUCACCAAGGCGACGAUCCCUAGCUGGUUUGAGAGGAUGAUCAGCCACACUGGAACUGAGACACGGUCCAGACUCCUACGGGAGGCAGCAGUGGGGAAUAUUGCACAAUGGGCGCAAGCCUGAUGCAGCCAUGCCGCGUGUGUGAAGAAGGCCUUCGGGUUGUAAAGCACUUUCAGUCAGGAGGAAAGGUUAGUAGUUAAUACCUGCUAGCUGUGACGUUACUGACAGAAGAAGCACCGGCUAACUCCGUGCCAGCAGCCGCGGUAAUACGGAGGGUGCGAGCGUUAAUCGGAAUUACUGGGCGUAAAGCGUACGCAGGCGGUUUGUUAAGCGAGAUGUGAAAGCCCCGGGCUUAACCUGGGAACUGCAU
This 571-nucleotide ribosomal RNA is filed under the name bacterium KS172. RNAcentral describes it as "bacterial SSU rRNA". It matches the Rfam family "Bacterial small subunit ribosomal RNA", at positions 57 to 626 of the family's 1533-position model. The record is from RNAcentral.